Molecule: ribosomal RNA, 447 nt
Filed under: uncultured bacterium
Lineage: Bacteria
Description: partial 16S ribosomal RNA
Rfam family: Bacterial small subunit ribosomal RNA
Source: RNAcentral
UCCAGACUCCUACGGGAGGCAGCAGUGGGGGAUAUUGCACAAUGGGGGGAACCCUGAUGCAGCGACGCCGCGUGGGUGAAGGAGCGUUUCGGCGCGUAAAGCCCUAUCGGCAGGGAAGAAGGAGGACGGUACCUGACUAAGAAGCCCCGGCUAACUACGUGCCAGCAGCCGCGGUAAUACGUAGGGGGCAAGCGUUAUCCGGAUUUACUGGGUGUAAAGGGGGCGCAGACGGCAGCGCAAGCCAGGAGUGAAAGCCCGGGGCCCAACCCCGGGACUGCUCUUGGAACUGCGCGGCUGGAGUGCAGGAGGGGCAGGCGGAAUUCCUGGUGUAGCGGUGAAAUGCGUAGAUAUCAGGAGGAACACCGGCGGCGAAGGCGGCCUGCUGGACCGUGACUGACGUUGAGGCUCGAGAGCGUGGGGAGCAAACAGGAUUAGAUACCCCAGUAC